AUGAUCAAGCCUAAAAGAGCAGGAGGAAUUGGCUUCAAAGACCUGCACCUUUUUAACCAAGCACUACUAGCUAAACAAGGGUGGAGAUUAAUCCAAAACCCAGAUAGCUUGUGUGCAAGGGUACUUAAGUCCAAAUACUACCAUAAUGGUAAACUCCUAGAGUGUUUGCGGCCGAUGCGUCUCCCGUAUGGAUAG
Molecule: ribosomal RNA, 195 nt
Filed under: Triticum aestivum (bread wheat)
Lineage: Eukaryota; Viridiplantae; Streptophyta; Magnoliopsida; Poales; Poaceae
Description: partial small subunit ribosomal RNA
Source: RNAcentral